GGUGCGCAGCUACCUGCAGUCGACGGUACCAGGAAGAAGCUUGCUUCUUUGCUGACGAGUGGCGGACGGGUGAGUAAUGUCUGGGAAACUGCCUGAUGGAGGGGGAUAACUACUGGAAACGGUAGCUAAUACCGCAUAACGUCGCAAGACCAAAGAGGGGGACCUUCGGGCCUCUUGCCAUCGGAUGUGCCCAGAUGGGAUUAGCUAGUAGGUGGGGUAACGGCUCACCUAGGCGACGAUCCCUAGCUGGUCUGAGAGGAUGACCAGCCACACUGGAACUGAGACACGGUCCAGACUCCUACGGGAGGCAGCAGUGGGGAAUAUUGCACAAUGGGCGCAAGCCUGAUGCAGCCAUGCCGCGUGUAUGAAGAAGGCCUUCGGGUUGUAAAGUACUUUCAGCGGGGAGGAAGGGAGUAAAGUUAAUACCUUUGCUCAUUGACGUUACCCGCAGAAGAAGCACCGGCUAACUCCGUGCCAGCAGCCGCGGUAAUACGGAGGGUGCAAGCGUUAAUCGGAAUUACUGGGCGUAAAGCGCACGCAGGCGGUUUGUUAAGUCAGAUGUGAAAUCCCCGGGCUCAACCUGGGAACUGCAUCUGAUAC
Molecule: ribosomal RNA, 600 nt
Filed under: Escherichia coli
Lineage: Bacteria; Pseudomonadati; Pseudomonadota; Gammaproteobacteria; Enterobacterales; Enterobacteriaceae
Description: bacterial SSU rRNA
Rfam family: Bacterial small subunit ribosomal RNA
Source: RNAcentral